AAACCGGGAAGCUAAUACCUGAUAAUAUUUCAACCGCAUGGUUCGAUAGUGAAAGGUGGUUUUGCUAUCACUUAUAGAUGGACCCGCGCCGUAUUAGCUAGUUGGUAAGGUAACGGCUUACCAAGGCUACGAUACGUAGCCGACCUGAGAGGGUGAUCGGCCACACUGGAACUGAGACACGGUCCAGACUCCUACGGGAGGCAGCAGCC
RNAcentral lists this ribosomal RNA (209 nucleotides) under uncultured Staphylococcus sp. RNAcentral's name for it is "partial 16S ribosomal RNA". It matches the Rfam family "Bacterial small subunit ribosomal RNA", at positions 154 to 355 of the family's 1533-position model. Lineage: Bacteria; Bacillati; Bacillota; Bacilli; Caryophanales; Staphylococcaceae. The record is from RNAcentral.